This 301-nucleotide ribosomal RNA is filed under the name uncultured bacterium. Its description in RNAcentral is "partial 16S ribosomal RNA". It matches the Rfam family "Bacterial small subunit ribosomal RNA", at positions 509 to 807 of the family's 1533-position model. The record is from RNAcentral.
CAGUAGCCGCGGGAAUACGGAGGGAGCUAGCGUUGUUCGGAAUUACUGGGCGUAAAGCGCACGUAGGCGGCUUUGUAAGUUAGAGGUGAAAGCCUGGAGCUCAACUCCAGAAUUGCCUUUAAGACUGCAUCGCUUGAAUCCGGGAGAGGUGAGUGGAAUUCCCAGUGUAGAGGUGAAAUUCGUAGAUAUUGGGAAGAGCACCAGUGGCGAAGGCGGCUCACUGGCUCAUUCUAGACGCUGAGGUGCGAAAGUGUGGGGAGCAGACAGGAUUAGAUACCCCUGUAGUCCCUGUCUCUUAUAC